RNAcentral lists this ribosomal RNA (19 nucleotides) under Acaena argentea. Its description in RNAcentral is "partial 26S ribosomal RNA". The record is from RNAcentral. Lineage: Eukaryota; Viridiplantae; Streptophyta; Magnoliopsida; Rosales; Rosaceae.
GGUUUGCCCACUGAAUUAA